UGGCCACCCGGGGAAGAGGAGAAUGCUUGCUGCCUUUAGUUUCAUAGCAUCCCCAGACACUUCUCCCCUUCCAGAGUGGGGCAAGGCUGUGUCAGUGAGGUUAAUAGAAAGGACCCAACAGCAACCCCGAGUGUCAGAACGACUUCGCUGGCUGGCUGUGAGAGUUUCUGACAGCAACCUUGCAGAGUUUAUGGCUGAGUUGUUUCUAAUCUAAUUGAAGUGACAAGACCAUCCUUGGAAAAUCUCACUGCUGGCAACAGAUGCGGAAGCCUGGGAGUUUCAGCAGAAGAUCAGCUUCUGACGCUGACAGCAUCUUCUGUCUCAGCGUGUUUGCUUUGCACUGUGCUCAAUAAAUAUUCCUGCUAGGACAACUGGAA
RNAcentral lists this long non-coding RNA (377 nucleotides) under Rattus norvegicus (Norway rat). Its description in RNAcentral is "long non-coding RNA NONRATT012113". Lineage: Eukaryota; Metazoa; Chordata; Mammalia; Rodentia; Muridae. The record is from RNAcentral.